UACCAGCACCCCGAGUGGUCGGGACGUUUUAUUGGGCCUAAAGCAUCCGUAGCCGGUUCUACAAGUCUUCCGUUAAAUCCAACUGCUUAACAGGUGGGCUGCGGAAAAUACUAUAGAGCUAGGAGGCGGGAGAGGCAAGCGGUACUCGAUGGGUAGGGGUAAAAUCCGUUGAUCCAUUGAAGACCACCAGUGGCGAAGGCGGCUUGCCAGAACGCGCUCGACGGUGAGGGAUGAAAGCUGGGGG
This 244-nucleotide ribosomal RNA is filed under the name uncultured bacterium. RNAcentral's name for it is "partial 16S ribosomal RNA". It matches the Rfam family "Archaeal small subunit ribosomal RNA", at positions 474 to 717 of the family's 1478-position model. The record is from RNAcentral.